Molecule: long non-coding RNA, 1784 nt
Filed under: Oryza sativa tropical japonica subgroup
Lineage: Eukaryota; Viridiplantae; Streptophyta; Magnoliopsida; Poales; Poaceae
Description: lncRNA OsKeNa_01g0017060
Source: RNAcentral
GAUCGAAAAAAAAAACUUCUCUCCCGUGCGCUAGCCCGUCGCCGCCUCCCGGAGCCGCUCGCCGCCUCCUCGCACGUGCCCGCCGGACCGCCAGGCGCCGCCGCCAACUCCGAGCGCGCACCCGCCGCAGCCGCGCCCCCUACCCCGCCGCCUCCUCGCGCGUGCCCGACGCUCGCCCUACCCCGCCGUUGCCGCCUCCUCGCGGCCGCCAGUGAGCCAGGUUCGCCGUCGGCUGGCGCCUUCUCCACCACCGCCGCCGCCUCCUCGCGCGUGGCCUCUGGAGUUCUGGGCUCGCCGUCGGCCGGCUCCUCCUCGCGUGCGCCCGCCGGGGAGCUGUGGUGGGUUACGGCACUACGCAGUACAGACUCCAGGUUAAGGCACAGGGAGGCAACAAUCCAAUACAGGAGAGAUAGGAUGGGAUCCCAGCUCAAGGGAGCCCUGGCGGCAGCUACGGUCGGGAGGACCUAAGCCCUACAGGCAAGCUCUAUAAUCAACCCCCUUUUGCUUACCGGCGAUAAGUCAACCAACUUCCAGUGAUGCAGUCAAUAGUUUCUGAUCAGCUUGGAGUGGUCCGUGCCAUGUUGCUGUGAUAAUGCUACAGGUUAAUCCUCCUGGCUCUCUGUACUGAAACAAUUUCUCUGGAUCUCUUUCCCUUUUGUUUUGGACCUUAUACAACCUGCUGUUGGCUAAUAAUGACAUUCAUGAAUAAUAGAUCAUGUUAAAGCUGUUUGCAUGGUCUGCUGUUGUCAAAUAGUUUUAUGCAGUCACAACUCUUAUUAAAUGAUCAAGUUGACUUCAAGCAUUGGGCUAAAAACUAAGAUUAUGUAAGUUAAAUAACAUAUAUGCCGUCAUCUUCAAUUUAAGUGAUAUUGUGUCAAUCUUCUGAUCAACUGUUUACAUCUUCGGAUUAUAUAGAUUCAUGUCACCUGUGUAUGUCUUCGGAAUUAUCUAUGUUUAUGUUACUGUGUAUGUCUUCAGAUUUAUAUAUAUUUAGGUCACCUGUGUAUAUCUUGAGAUAUUUCGUAAUUGCAUAUUAUUACAGAUGGCAAAGAUGUUUAAUUCUAUUUUUUUAUUGGAUAUCCUUCAGCGAUAUGCCCUGCCCGGCCUUGUCAGCUAAUAUGCAAUAUCAGUUUUAUGCCCUUGACAUGGCAUACAUUCCUCCAGGCUGCACUCACUUACACUUUUACUGUAGAUUGAUAGGUUAAUGUUCCAUUGUCAAGGUGAACCAAUCAGCUAAUGAUGGUUCAUAUAGUUAUAAUUUGAGUGCAACUAUGUAUCCACUAUGAUGUAGAAUUGUGGGUAUUUGCAAUUUAAAAGGUAUGCCACUUAGGAAUCGACACUCAGGCACAUGCACCUAGGCUUGAUGGGUAAGUCUGGCCAAUUUACAUAUGGGGAACACAAAUUAAUUUAAUCAGUUAUUCCAAUUUAUUCUUCUUUGUUUCUAUGCACUGCAAUGCCAAUUUGAGUGCCUAUCUUGUCAUGCUAUUCAGCAUAAUGUCUUGGCAGGCUAUGCAUAUGUUCAUGCUUAUAUAUGCAGCAUUCAUAUAAGUACGGAUUAAUUGGAUUGCUUGCUUUGUCUAAUGCAGCCUCACCAUUUAAUUUGUGGCGAGCACCUUAAUUCCAUCUUGCCAUUAUCGAGGGAGUAUAUCAUACACCUAAUUCUGUAUAUAGAGUAUUUAUUGACUAGGGUCUUGGAAAUUUUUGAAUUGCUGUCAGAUGUAAGUUCCUCAGAUUGAUGAUUUGAUUACUUUCACAGCUAAUACCAUUGAUCAUAGCUAAACACC